UACGAAGGGGGCUAGCGUUGCUCGGAAUCACUGGGCGUAAAGGGUGCGUAGGCGGGUCUUUAAGUCAGGGGUGAAAUCCUGGAGCUCAACUCCAGAACUGCCUUUGAUACUGAAGAUCUUGAGUUCGGGAGAGGUGAGUGGAACUGCGAGUGUAGAGGUGAAAUUCGUAGAUAUUCGCAAGAACACCAGUGGCGAAGGCGAGUCCCUGGACAACACCUGACACUGAGGCACGAAAGCUAGGGGAGCAAACAGG
RNAcentral lists this ribosomal RNA (253 nucleotides) under uncultured bacterium. Its description in RNAcentral is "partial 16S ribosomal RNA". It matches the Rfam family "Bacterial small subunit ribosomal RNA", at positions 524 to 776 of the family's 1533-position model. The record is from RNAcentral.